This 230-nucleotide ribosomal RNA is filed under the name uncultured bacterium. RNAcentral's name for it is "partial 16S ribosomal RNA". It matches the Rfam family "Bacterial small subunit ribosomal RNA", at positions 118 to 350 of the family's 1533-position model. The record is from RNAcentral.
UGGGCAACCUGCCCUCAGCUCUGGGAUAACUCCGGGAAACCGGGGCUAAUACCGGAUACGACCUUCCCUCGCAUGGGGGUUGGUGGAAAGUCCUUCGGCUGAGGAUGGGCCCGCGGCCUAUCAGCUUGUUGGUGGGGUGAUGGCCUACCAAGGCGACGACGGGUAGCCGGCCUGAGAGGGCGACCGGCCACACUGGGACUGAGACACGGCCCAGACUCCUACGGGAGGCA